RNAcentral lists this ribosomal RNA (447 nucleotides) under uncultured bacterium. RNAcentral's name for it is "bacterial SSU rRNA". It matches the Rfam family "Bacterial small subunit ribosomal RNA", at positions 328 to 792 of the family's 1533-position model. The record is from RNAcentral.
CGCCCAGACUCCUACGGGAGGCAGCAGUGGGGGAUAUUGCACAAUGGGGGGAACCCUGAUGCAGCAACGCCGCGUGAGUGAAGAAGUAUUUCGGUAUGUAAAGCUCUAUCAGCAGGGAAGAAGAUGACGGUACCUGAUUAAGAAGCCCCGGCUAACUACGUGCCAGCAGCCGCGGUAAUACGUAGGGGGCAAGCGUUAUCCGGAUUUACUGGGUGUAAAGGGAGCGUAGACGGCGAUGCAAGCCAGAUGUGAAAGCCCGGGGCUCAACCCCGGGACUGCAUUUGGAACUGUGUGGCUGGAGUGUCGGAGAGGCAGGCGGAAUUCCUGGUGUAGCGGUGAAAUGCGUAGAUAUCAGGAGGAACACCGGUGGCGAAGGCGGCCUGCUGGACCGUGACUGACGUUGAGGCUCGAGAGCGUGGGGAGCAAACAGGAUUAGAUCCCCCGGUA